RNAcentral lists this ribosomal RNA (497 nucleotides) under uncultured bacterium. RNAcentral's name for it is "partial 16S ribosomal RNA". It matches the Rfam family "Bacterial small subunit ribosomal RNA", at positions 28 to 507 of the family's 1533-position model. The record is from RNAcentral.
GAUGAACGCUGGCGGCGUGCCUAAUACAUGCAAGUCGAGCGAACAGACGAGGAGCUUGCUCCUUUGACGUUAGCGGCGGACGGGUGAGUAACACGUGGAUAACCUACCUAUAAGACUGGGAUAACUUCGGGAAACCGGAGCUAAUACCGGAUAAUAUAUUGAACCGCAUGGUUCAAUAGUGAAAGACGGUUUUGCUGUCACUUAUAGAUGGAUCUGCGCCGCAUUAGCUAGUUGGUAAGGUAACGGCUUACCAAGGCAACGAUGCGUAGCCGACCGGAGAGGGUGAUCGGCCACACUGGAACUGGGACACGGUCCAGACUCCUACGGGAGGCAGCAGUAGGGAAUCUUCCGCAAUGGGCGAAAGCCUGACGGAGCAACGCCGCGUGAGUGAUGAAGGUCCUCGGAUCGUAAAACUCUGUUAUUAGGGAAGAACAAAUGUGUAAGUAACUAUGCACGUCUUGACGGUACCUAAUCAGAAAGCCACGGCUAACUACGUG